ACUCCUACGGGAGGCAGCAGUGGGGAAUAUUGCACAAUGGGGGGAAACCCUGAUGCAGCCAUGCCGCGUGUGUGAAGAAGGCCUUCGGGUUGUAAAGCACUUUCAGUAGGGAGGAAGGUAGUGUAGUUAACACCUGCACUAUUUGACGUUACCUACAGAAGAAGCACCGGCUAACUCCGUGCCAGCAGCCGCGGUAAUACGGAGGGUGCGAGCGUUAAUCGGAAUUACUGGGCGUAAAGCGCAUGCAGGCGGCCUGUUAAGUCAGAUGUGAAAGCCCGGGGCUUAACCUCGGAAUUGCAUUUGAAACUGGCAGGCUAGAGUCUUGUAGAGGGGGGUAGAAUUUCAGGUGUAGCGGUGAAAUGCGUAGAGAUCUGAAGGAAUACCAGUGGCGAAGGCGGCCCCCUGGACAAAGACUGACGCUCAGAUGCGAAAGCGUGGGGAGCAAAACAGGAUUAGAUACCCUGGUAGCACAAG
This 474-nucleotide ribosomal RNA is filed under the name uncultured bacterium. RNAcentral's name for it is "bacterial SSU rRNA". It matches the Rfam family "Bacterial small subunit ribosomal RNA", at positions 335 to 799 of the family's 1533-position model. The record is from RNAcentral.